This 870-nucleotide ribosomal RNA is filed under the name uncultured Streptococcus sp. RNAcentral's name for it is "bacterial SSU rRNA". The stretch from base 1 to 522 matches the Rfam family "Bacterial small subunit ribosomal RNA", at positions 28 to 545 of the family's 1533-position model. Lineage: Bacteria; Bacillati; Bacillota; Bacilli; Lactobacillales; Streptococcaceae. The record is from RNAcentral.
AUUGAACGCUGGCGGCAGGCCUAACACAUGCAAGUCGAGCGGUAGAGAGAAGCUUGCUUCUCUUGAGAGCGGCGGACGGGUGAGUAAUGCCUAGGAAUCUGCCUGGUAGUGGGGGAUAACGUUCGGAAACGGACGCUAAUACCGCAUACGUCCUACGGGAGAAAGCAGGGGACCUUCGGGCCUUGCGCUAUCAGAUGAGCCUAGGUCGGAUUAGCUAGUUGGUGAGGUAAUGGCUCACCAAGGCGACGAUCCGUAACUGGUCUGAGAGGAUGAUCAGUCACACUGGAACUGAGACACGGUCCAGACUCCUACGGGAGGCAGCAGUGGGGAAUAUUGGACAAUGGGCGAAAGCCUGAUCCAGCCAUGCCGCGUGUGUGAAGAAGGUCUUCGGAUUGUAAAGCACUUUAAGUUGGGAGGAAGGGUUGUACAUUAAUACUCUGCAAUUUUGACUUGACCGACACAAUAAUCACCGGCGAAUUGUGUGCCACCCGCACCGGUAAUACAUAGGCGGCAAGGGUAAAUCUUACUUACUCGACGUGAAGAUCGCGUCUGUGGUCUGUUAAUUGGGAUGUGAACGAAGAUCGCUCACUUUGCUCACUGCAUGUCAUGCGGACUUACUUGACGUUUGUAGAAAGUUGUCCCCCUCCACCGGGCAGUUUCCCAAGACAUUACUCACCCGUACGCCGCUCUCCGGCAAAGUAGACGCUCCUUCCCCCUGCCGCUCUGCUGGCAGGAGUUAGGGCUGCCGCUCGCGCUCAACCUGCAUAGGGAUCAAAAUCUAAAGGCGAAUACCCCAGUGGAGCUCAGCAUACCGAAACCGUUCGAGGAAAAAGGGGGGGACCAGAACGAGAUUUCUUUCGCGUGAGGGAA